AUUGAACGCUGGCGGCAUGCCUUACACAUGCAAGUCGAACGGCAGCACGGGAGCAAUCCUGGUGGCGAGUGGCGAACGGGUGAGUAACAUAUCGGAACGUGCCCAGUAGUGGGGGAUAGCCCGGCGAAAGCCGGAUUAAUACCGCCAUACGACCUACGGGUGAAAGCGGGGGAUCGCAAGACCUCGCGCUAUUGGAGCGGCCGAUAUCAGAUUAGCUUGUUGGUGGGGUAAAAAGCCUACCAAGGCGACGAUCUGUAGCUGGUCUGAGAGGACGACCAGCCACACUGGGACUGAGACACGGCCCAGACUCCUACGGGAGGCAGCAGUGGGGAAUUUUGGACAAUGGGCGCAAGCCUGAUCCAGCCAUGCCGCGUGCGGGAAGAAGGCCUCGGUUGUAACGACUUUGUCUAGGAAGAAACGGUUUAGAGCUAAU
RNAcentral lists this ribosomal RNA (433 nucleotides) under uncultured bacterium. Its description in RNAcentral is "bacterial SSU rRNA". It matches the Rfam family "Bacterial small subunit ribosomal RNA", at positions 30 to 464 of the family's 1533-position model. The record is from RNAcentral.